This 96-nucleotide signal recognition particle RNA is filed under the name bacterium. Its description in RNAcentral is "signal recognition particle sRNA small type". It matches the Rfam family "Bacterial small signal recognition particle RNA". Rfam says of the family: The signal recognition particle (SRP) is a universally conserved ribonucleoprotein involved in the co-translational targeting of proteins to membranes. The record is from RNAcentral. RNAcentral also lists the same sequence under 1 other name.
GGAAGGCUAGGGCGGGCGAGUGUCUUGCGAACCCGGCCAGGGCCGAGAGGCAGCAACCGUACCAAGUUUUCAUCCGGGUCGUUCUAGUCUUCCACC